Molecule: long non-coding RNA, 1257 nt
Filed under: Brassica napus (rape)
Lineage: Eukaryota; Viridiplantae; Streptophyta; Magnoliopsida; Brassicales; Brassicaceae
Description: long non-coding RNA (BNAP_LNC016588)
Source: RNAcentral
AUAUAUUUAUACUUGUGGCUUAUAGGUUGGAGUAAUGAGACAAUAUUACAUACGUCUUAUUUCAUUUAGCUAAGUUAGGCCUCUGUUAUUAGUUUAUUGCAGUCGAAACUCUGUCUCGUGACUGCCAGACUGCCAUAGUGUCGUUAGAAAUAAAGCUUUGCCUCUCCUUGUAAUGCUUCCAGGAUACAUAUGUCUACUGUUCAGACAUCAUGACGAUAGAAAACAUUAGUAUCACUGGACGUAAGAUGAACUCAAAUCCAUAAUACCCCACCUCCAGAAAAAUCUACAACUCACGAUACAUAGUUUUGCCUAUCUCCAAGCCACAAACAGAAAAACAGUAUGAAGAGUAUACAUAAACAUCAGAGAAACAUUGUCGAAUUAGGACUUACCUUUAGUCUGUACUCUGUAACAACUGUCGAAUUUUGAUAAAGGUUUUUACACCUUCUGUAGGUAACAAAGCCUCUUUCAAAUGUGUGAUGCUAUCUUUGACAGAAAAUGCAUAAGAUUUUCUCCGUUAACAAUGGUAUUAGAAAUCUAGAAAGAUAAGAUUGACAUCUUAUUCCCCCUUUUAUCAUCGUUGCAGAAGGAAAUCUCCCAUAUAAAACCCUCGAUAACCUGCAACAUGACAGGUAUGUAUAUUUAGGGCAAUAGCAAAACAAUAUAAACUAAGGGUCUGAUCGGUAAUGGCUGUAGCUUUAAAAUUUUUGCUGUAGAAAAAAAUCUGUAGAUUUUUUGCUGUGGCUUUAAAUUUUAUUGAUGUAGAAUUUUAUGAAAGCACUAAAAAAUUGCUUUGGAUAUUUGGCUCUGCAGAGCACUUGUACAGCUGUAGGUUAUUUCUAGAGCUGUGGUUUCAAAAAAAAAAUUAAAGCUUGAUUGCUCUGAAUUUGGUGCUUUAAAAAUAAAUACGGUUGUGGACAGCACCUACAGCAACUACCAAUCACCCCUAAGAGUCAAAUACAUAAGCUGGUCUGGUGUGGGAGACACACUCGAUAACCUGCAACAUGACACUCGAUAAACCAAACUACCAAACUGAGUGGCUACCUGAGUUGUAUAUGAUCGUGAGAAACUAAUUCUGGAGUGGAAAGAUUCUAAUUGGGAGCUCCUUAUCAACUCUUCUUCCAAAAUAUGAUUCUGGACUCAGCUGAAACCAAGGUAGUUCUUUCAAAACUACCACGAUUCCCAAGUGUUUUAAGGGAUGAAAUUUUCAUUCAACCACUGGUUUUAGCAGUUUUAGGAGCUUUUGUGGUGUUGUGUUCC